This 289-nucleotide ribosomal RNA is filed under the name uncultured Rhizobium sp. RNAcentral describes it as "partial 16S ribosomal RNA". Lineage: Bacteria; Pseudomonadati; Pseudomonadota; Alphaproteobacteria; Hyphomicrobiales; Rhizobiaceae. The record is from RNAcentral.
CUACCAGGGUUUCUAAUCCUGUUUGCUCCCCACGCUUUCGCACCUCAGCGUCAGUAAUGGACCAGUAAGCCGCCUUCGCCACUGGUGUUCCUCCGAAUAUCUACGAAUUUCACCUCUACACUCGGAAUUCCACUUACCUCUUCCAUACUCAAGAUACCCAGUAUCAAAGGCAGUUCCGCAGUUGAGCUGCGGGAUUUCACCCCUGACUUAAAUAUCCGCCUACGUGCGCUUUACGCCCAGUAAUUCCGAACAACGCUAGCCCCCUUCGUAUUACCGCGGCUGCUGGCAC